Molecule: ribosomal RNA, 737 nt
Filed under: uncultured Burkholderiales bacterium
Lineage: Bacteria; Pseudomonadati; Pseudomonadota; Betaproteobacteria; Burkholderiales
Description: bacterial SSU rRNA
Rfam family: Bacterial small subunit ribosomal RNA
Source: RNAcentral
AUUGAACGCUGGCGGCUGCCUUACACAUGCAAGUCGAACGGCAGCACGGACUUCGGUCUGGUGGCGAGUGGCGAACGGGUGAGUAAUAUAUCGGAACAUACCCAGUAGUGGGGGAUAACUAUCCGAAAGGAUAGCUAAUACCGCAUACGAUCUGUGGAUGAAAGCAGGGGAUCUUCGGACCUUGUGCUAUUGGAAUGGCCGAUAUCUGAUUAGCUAGUUGGUAGGGUAAAAGCCUACCAAGGCGACGAUCAGUAGCUGGUCUGAGAGGACGACCAGCCACACUGGAACUGAGACACGGUCCAGACUCCUACGGGAGGCAGCAGUGGGGAAUUUUGGACAAUGGGGGCAACCCUGAUCCAGCAAUGCCGCGUGAGUGAAGAAGGCCCUCGGGUUGUAAAGCUCUUUUGUCAGGGAAGAAACGGAGUUCUCUAAUAUAGGAUUCUAAUGACGGUACCUGAAGAAUAAGCACCGGCUAACUACGUGCCAGCAGCCGCGGUAAUACGUAGGGUGCAAGCGUUAAUCGGAAUUACUGGGCGUAAAGCGUGCGCAGGCGGUUUUGUAAGUCUGAUGUGAAAUCCCCGGGCUCAACCUGGGAACUGCAUUGGAGACUGCAAGGCUAGAGUGUGUCAGAGGGGGGGUAGAAUUCCACGUGUAGCAGUGAAAUGCGUAGAGAUGUGGAGGAAUACCGAUGGCGAAGGCAGCCCCCUGGGAUAACACUGACGCUCAUGCACGAAAGC